GUUACAUGUUAAUUAUUGGUAACAAAUUAAUCAAUUUAUUGAUCAUAAUAACUAAAUAAUUAGUCACAGUACUACCAUCUCACCACCAUUAGGGACCACCAGCAAGAAUCAAAAUCAACAUCUCUACCACACCACCCCCAACCAAAAAAUCCCCAAACCAAACAUUACCACCAUCGCUAGCAACAGUAGCAGCACCAUUGUCGCUACCAGAAGCACCAUCACCAAAUACAUCGUCAUUGCAUUCCAUCCCUACAACCGCUUGUUCCAACAACUAACCACCACAUCCACGUCCACCUUCCCGGCAACUCCAAUCAACCACCGCAUCACCAUUACAACUGCUUGCUAGAAUCCACAAUCUCAUGCCACACUACCACACCACAGCCAACGCCCUACCAACAAAACCCCCAAACCCGUUACUGGCAUCUGCACUUUCAAUACACAAAUCAAUCCUUAACUCCCGCCACCACAAAAUCAGAAAAAAGAGAGAAAACCUUAUUUUUCCAACACCGAACUUCUAUGAUUGCUAUAUUGCAUUUAAAUUCCCAUUUUCUCACAUCUCUACUAGUAGAUCUCAUAGGUGGCUCCAGCAUCGCUGAGCAACGAUAAUACCACGACUACAAAGGGCUUUUGGUAAAGGUGAUCGACAUUGCGCGACGGUGAUACCAUCGCUGCUGCGGGAGCGGCUCUCCUAGUGACAAUCACCAUGUAUGAUUGUACGUCGUAUUGAUUGGAUUGUGCGUGAGUGAGAGAGUAAGUAGAGGUGAAAAUCAAGUCGAGCGGCUCAACCGCUCAGCUUGUAAAAAAGCGGCUGGAGCUUAUAUUUAGACGAGCUCGAGUUGAGCAGGCCUGCUCGUUAGGUGAGUUGAAUCCACUGGCGAACGGCUCGCACGAGCCCAUGAACCCUCAUAAAAAAUAAAAAAAUAAAAAAAAAGGCAACAAGAAAUCAG
RNAcentral lists this long non-coding RNA (947 nucleotides) under Olea europaea subsp. europaea. Lineage: Eukaryota; Viridiplantae; Streptophyta; Magnoliopsida; Lamiales; Oleaceae. The record is from RNAcentral.